RNAcentral lists this ribosomal RNA (1374 nucleotides) under Triticum aestivum (bread wheat). RNAcentral's name for it is "partial small subunit ribosomal RNA". Lineage: Eukaryota; Viridiplantae; Streptophyta; Magnoliopsida; Poales; Poaceae. The record is from RNAcentral.
AUGAAAAGUGAAGUAUUAUGUGUGGGAGGUGAUGAUUCUACUCUCCAUAAGUAUGCAGACCUCUUUGGUUACAAAAUUGGCCACUUUCCUAUGAAAUACUUAGGGGUGCCUGUGAGCUUUUCCUCUUUACGUAACAUUGAUUGGGAGUUUGUUGCUAUUAGGUAUCUUUUGAGUUGUGAUGCCUGGAUUGGCAGAUCCGCCUCAUCUUGCGGAAGAUUGACUUUACUCAAUUCUUCCCUAUCGAGUAUAGCCUAUUACUACAUGUCCAUGUUCCUUCUCUCCAAAACCUUCAUUGAGAGACUGGACAAAUAUCGUCGUAAGUUUUUCUGGUGCGGUGGUACGGAGAAGAAACGUUAUCAUCUUGUUAAGUGGUCUCGGGUGUGCCAAUCUAAAAGAAAAGGUGGGCUUGGAGUUAAAGAUCUCCACAAGCAAAACUUAGCUCUCCUAGCUAAGUGGUGGUGGAAACUUAAUACGGGCAAAGGCCUUUGGCAAGAUGUGAUUAGAGCCAAGUAUCUUAAAAACUGUUCUGUGGCCAUGGUAAAAACAAAGUUCAAUGAUUCCCCUGUUUGGAAGGCUUUACUCAAAGUGAAAGAACACUAUAUGGCUGGGAGGAAAGUGAUCCUUAAUUCUGGGGAUGUGGCCAGGAUCUAGCAGGACCCUGUCGGUGAGCAUCCACCGCUUUGUGUGAUGUAUCCGGUCCUAUUCAGCAUAGCUAACCACCCUGAGGAUACAGUCGCGCAAUUUCGAGGCAGAGAAGAGGGGGACAUCUUCAGAAGAAGAUUGAGGCCGGAUUUAGCCAAUCAAUUUGCUGGCUCUAAAAACAUCAUUCAGAGCAUUGCUCCCUCUGUGGAACCUGAUAAAGUUAAAUGGGCUCUUGGACCCAAUGAGAAGUACACGACGAAAGCAAUGUACUCUUACCUCGAGAGAAAUAUCUCUGGAUGUGAUUAUAGGUGGAUUUGGCGGGCUAAGCUCCCAAUCAAAAUCCAAAUCUUUUUGUGGCAACUAUUUCAAGAUGCAGUCUUAACCAGAGAUGUUAUGAAACGCAGGAAUUGGGCGGGCGAUCCUCGCUGCUCGUUCUGUGAUUGUAGAGAGACCUACGUCCACCUAUUCUUUCUGUGCCCUGUCGCUAGAACAGUUUGGCGGAUGGUAGGGGCAAUGCUUGGCACUGAUUUAUGCCCUAAUAACUUGUGCCAGUUCUACUCCUGGUGCUAUGCUUUUCUUCCCCAGGGGGAACAACAUUUCACUGUGGGCUUAGCGGCUGUAUGCUGGGCUAUCUGGAAUCGCAGAAACCAAGCUACUUUUGAACACAAGAAACUGUCAUCUCCUUUUGAGAUUGUCUUCACAACCUGUGUGCAUUUGAAAUACUGGGCAUGA